This is a long non-coding RNA of Gadus macrocephalus (Pacific cod), 2523 nucleotides long. RefSeq lists it as uncharacterized. NCBI's taxonomy places the organism in Eukaryota, Metazoa, Chordata, Actinopteri, Gadiformes, Gadidae. The transcript is spliced from 5 exons. The record is from RefSeq and is a predicted model, not a curated record.
CAUAAAUCAAUAAUUGAUUAAUCCAAAAAAAUCAAAAAUUAUUUGGAUUGCUGGUUUGUGUUUUCUCAGGAUUCAUGCUUGGCUGUUUGUCCUCCUUCUGCUCGUUUGUUCUCAUGUCUAGGCUAAGAAAUCAACGCUCCCCUGCAGCUCAAACACCGGUUUGUUGCGGUUAUUCUAUUUCAUUUAUUUGACAUUUUACUUGUAAAGUUUAGGUAUUUUUACCGCAUUUUCUCUUAAGUGAAUCAACAGGUGAGGCUGAGCACAGUUAAAGCAUGCAAUCAAUAUGACCGGAUAUGAUAAUGAAUUGGUCUUCAAAUUAAAAUCAAACAUUUGCAUGACCUUUUUUUCUAUUGUCAGUUUCAGCUAUCCCUGAAAACCGAGAAGAAAUUGAGGAAGAGGAGGGGGAGCUGCAGGCCAACCCGGGUGAGGUCAGCGUGCAGGAUGAAGUGGAACUGCAGGGGAAUGAUUGCUCUACGCAGCGCUCCGAUACAGACCAAGGAGAUGAUCUGGAGGAAGUGACAGACGAGAGGCCCAUGGUCGGCCAGAAUGAGUUCAGAGUGAUAUGUGAAGCUAUGAGUGGGAUGCUGCACGAGAGCCACUUUGCCUCAGGGAGGUGUGGGGACAGUAUUCGGACGGAAGACCGUUUGAUGAGUCCAGUGGAGUUCGUGGAGCAGGGUUCAGCAAUGCCUAACGCCCUCUGGAGGAGGGACAUCCAAUGGGAAGGACAGCCGCUGAGCAGCAGUCUCAUUGAGGUAACACACUUUCUGUGUGUGCGUGAAUGAUACUAAUGUGAACUCACACCCACACCUAUGCCAUAUUUUUUUUUUGCUGAUUUGGAAUGGGGUCCCAUAUGUCGUCAUAAAGGAUCUAAGCUCCUCCCGUUUCUCUGCCUUGCCCGACCAGAGAAUUUUGCCCGCCAAUGAGACACGACCGUGCGAGCGCCACUGUAACGCAAGUGUUUACUGUUGGUGUUAUGGCGCAUAACAAGCCGGUUCUUUGACGUAUCUUGUAUUUCUACAGCGAGACUGUCGUUGGGGUUAUCUCAGCCAUGGUUGAGAAGGAAUUGGGGGAAAGGAACUUUGGCUUUGACUCCCUAAAGUACAUGAACCACGACAUGGAGGAGAAAGGGAUUGUUGGCCGCAAAUGACUCCCGCUUGAGCCCCGCUUCCCGCUUCCCGCUGAGGGACCGCGGUGGUGCUCGGCGGGAGACAACCGCUGUCAAUAAUCGCGGGCAAAAAUCCCUUUGUUCUCCAUGUCGUGGUUCAGUCUACUUCAGAUUGAUGUGGACGUGGAAGAACCAGAGAUGUCGGAGAACCCGACGCGGCCGUUUGAGAUUCAUAAUAACGUGCUUACGUCUCUGCGUCUAAAACGACCCUAAAUCGGCCUUUAGGGGCAAGAGAGUUGGGUGUAAGGUUUGAAAGUUCAUGCCUGCAUGAGCAAACUACUAGUGAUCAAUCACUUUGGUUCUGUUUAAAAUAUCUAAAUUCUACAACCGUGUUUGAAUCUAGAUUUAAUAACUUAUCUGUUAACACAAAAGGCUAAACACACCCACAAUCAGCCCAGCCUGGUAAGACAUAGGGGAGUUUAUAUCCUAAUAUGAGGAACCUUUUUCCAGUAGCUUAAUGUGUGUGUGUGUGUGUGUGUGUGUGUGUGUGUGUGUGUGUGUGUGUGUGUGUGUGUGUGUGUGUGUGUGUGUGUGUGUGUGUGUGUUGUGCAACCCCGUUGCAGGACGGACACCUGACAUGCCCGGGAUAUAAUAAGUGCAAGGUAACUUUCCAUAAAUCAAUAAUUGAUUAAUCCAAAAAAAUCAAAAAUUAUUUGGAUUGCUGGUUUGUGUUUUCUCAGGAUUCAUGCUUGGCUGUUUGUCCUCCUUCUGCUCGUUUGUUCUCAUGUCUAGGCUAAGAAAUCAACGCUCCCCUGCAGCUCAAACACCGGUUUGUUGCGGUUAUUCUAUUUCAUUUAUUUGACAUUUUACUUGUAAAGUUUAGGUAUUUUUACCGCAUUUUCUCUUAAGUGAAUCAACAGGUGAGGCUGAGCACAGUUAAAGCAUGCAAUCAAUAUGACCGGAUAUGAUAAUGAAUUGGUCUUCAAAUUAAAAUCAAACAUUUGCAUGACCUUUUUUUCUAUUGUCAGUUUCAGCUAUCCCUGAAAACCGAGAAGAAAUUGAGGAAGAGGAGGGGGAGCUGCAGGCCAACCCGGGUGAGGUCAGCGUGCAGGAUGAAGUGGAACUGCAGGGGAAUGAUUGCUCUACGCAGCGCUCCGAUACAGACCAAGGAGAUGAUCUGGAGGAAGUGACAGACGAGAGGCCCAUGGUCGGCCAGAAUGAGUUCAGAGUGAUAUGUGAAGCUAUGAGUGGGAUGCUGCACGAGAGCCACUUUGCCUCAGGGAGGUGUGGGGACAGUAUUCGGACGGAAGACCGUUUGAUGAGUCCAGUGGAGUUCGUGGAGCAGGGUUCAGCAAUGCCUAACGCCCUCUGGAGGAGGGACAUCCAAUGGGAAGGACAGCCGCUGAGCAGCAGUCUCA